UUUGCCUACGGGGGGCAGCAGUGGGGAAUAUUGGACAAUGGGGGAAACCCUGAUCCAGCGACGCCGCGUGAGUGAAGAAGUAUUUCGGUACGUAAAGCUCUAUCAGCAGGAAAGAAAAUGACGGUACCUGACUAAGAAGCCCCGGCUAACUACGUGCCAGCAGCCGCGGUAAUACGUAGGGGGCAAGCGUUAUCCGGAAUUACUGGGUGUAAAGGGAGCGUAGACGGCUGUGCAAGUCUGGAGUGAAAGGCGGGGGCCCCACCCCCGGACU
RNAcentral lists this ribosomal RNA (271 nucleotides) under uncultured bacterium. Its description in RNAcentral is "partial 16S ribosomal RNA". It matches the Rfam family "Bacterial small subunit ribosomal RNA", at positions 334 to 622 of the family's 1533-position model. The record is from RNAcentral.